This is a non-coding RNA of Acanthosepion pharaonis, 90 nucleotides long. The record is from the annotation of a GenBank genome assembly. NCBI's taxonomy places the organism in Eukaryota, Metazoa, Mollusca, Cephalopoda, Sepiida, Sepiidae.
CGAGUUCCCGUACGAUCACCGAAGUUAAGCAACGUUGAGCUUGGUCAGUACCUAGAGGGGUGACAGCUUGGAAAUUCUAGGUGCUGUAAC